UCUUGCCUCAGCCUCCCAGAGUGCUAAAAUUACAGUGCCAUUACUCUCCAGGAUUUGGUUGUGGGAGUAAAGUGAGAGGAAAUUCACCAGCUGGCUAACUGUUCAACAAAGCUGCAGAUGGGGCAUCGCUAGUGUGCUGAGGCCAUACUACAACCAAGUUGAGAUGUCGGAUUCUGGGAAGCUGAAUCCAAGAGGGACCUUCUGGAGCCAUCUCUGGCCCCUGCUGUGAAGGAAGAGCUGAGAUAACUUUCACCAAAAAUUUGUGUCUUAGAAACAGAAGUAUGUUGUCUAUUUUAACACAGAUAAGAGCCUUUAA
Long non-coding RNA from Lemur catta (Ring-tailed lemur), 316 nucleotides. RefSeq lists it as uncharacterized. The record is from RefSeq and is a predicted model, not a curated record. The transcript is spliced from 3 exons. Lineage: Eukaryota; Metazoa; Chordata; Mammalia; Primates; Lemuridae.